GAACUUUUAAGCUCCCGUCUGUUAUUCUACAGCUGGUCUACCAGGCGAACACGACGCUCCAGGAUCCGCCAUUGCUGUGAAAAACUGGUCCAUUGGAGUGAACGGAGAUGACGCGACUCUCUCUUUAAAGGGCUCUGGCUUCUGCCACCUGGAAACGACUCGGCGGUCCUCCAGCUUGUUGCUCUCACUACAACCAGCCGCUGUACAAAACGUACGUUCAGGCUGAAAAUUCGACCGUGGUGUUGUGUCGGGAGAUGCAACGACUUUACCAGCGAAACCGAAGAAGAAAGAGGAGGUAGCAUGAUGUGGCCACCACUGGGAUCUUGUUAGAGGGCAAAAAGAAGAAGAAAGCAACACAGAAAAUAAACCAAAAAUAACAGAAUAUGCCUUUUAUAUUUCCCCUUACACGCCUUGAUUUUUAUGUGUAAAUACAGAGUGAGAAUGGGAGAACAGCACAUAGCUCAUUGUUGUGUGCUUUGUGAUUAUAGAGUACAGGAGAACAGUGGUUACUUUAACACAGUCCACACCCCUAAUAAUACUGUCUUAUCUACAGGAUAACAAGUGGAUUUUUUACUACUCUCUGCUUACCUUAUUAGUCUUGUGUAAUGUGUGUAACUUAAAGAAUGAAAAUAAAUACUGUGCUCCUCUGUACCCCAUUAAACAUUUAAGAUUAUGUAUCCACCUUCAUAUACACCAUAUGUGACAUUAUUACAUAACUGUAGCCUAUUACUUGAGACGGGUCCCUUAGCUGCAAGGCAAGAUAAACUGUAAAUAAUUUUAUUCAUUGCAAAUCAUCAGCCCAGUGCUACUGCGCUUUAUUCUGGAUUUAUUGUUCCUAAAUAAAAGGUUUGUCACAGCUAAAUCA
Long non-coding RNA from Micropterus dolomieu (smallmouth bass), 865 nucleotides. RefSeq lists it as uncharacterized. The transcript is spliced from 3 exons. The record is from RefSeq and is a predicted model, not a curated record. Lineage: Eukaryota; Metazoa; Chordata; Actinopteri; Centrarchiformes; Centrarchidae.